Molecule: long non-coding RNA, 1265 nt
Filed under: Cicer arietinum (chickpea)
Lineage: Eukaryota; Viridiplantae; Streptophyta; Magnoliopsida; Fabales; Fabaceae
Description: long non-coding RNA (CARI_LNC001630)
Source: RNAcentral
GAACUAGUAUUUGAUUACAAUGUUGAAAAUUCCCUAACCAUUCUGACCCACACAUCUUUAAUCAUUUAGUGAAACACAAAGCUCCGACAACAGCUCUCCAUCCUACGUUCUUCACACCAUUUCUUCUAGUGUCAUAUCUAUUUUGAAAUCACCAUCUAUGACCAUCAAGAUGAGUCACAGUUUAUCACAAACAGGGGAGCCAACUGUGGUUGUUCCUCAAGAGCAUGUCAAGGGUGAGAUUUGAAUUAGGAAAUGCAAAUAGAGACAACAGUGGCAUUUGGGAAAGCUGAUUUUUAUCAACUUACCAUCAUAAAGAGACUACAUGCAAAAGAAACAUAUAGCCUUGUAAUAGUGAGUUAGAUGAGUUUUCCAACCAAUCUUUGAUAUCUCCCAUGAUCAGAAUAAGGUUCCCUUCUCUCGACUUGUUAGCAAUUUUUGGUUUAGAUCCAUGGGGCUAUCAAUUGAUCUACAGCCACAUACCCGUUUCUUUAACUAUGUGUAAUGCAUACAUCCCUUUUGAAAUGAUAAUCCUAUUCUUUAAAUGACCAACUUCACUUCCAAGAAGAUAUUUGUAACUCCUCAAAUCCUUUGUUUGGAAAAAGCUAAACGAAGUGCAAACUGCUGCCAUGUCAGAGACAACCGAGACUUAUUGUGACAAUAGUGCGCAAUAGGAAAAGUUGGAGUGAGAUCAAACCAACAAUUUAGGAGAUUUUGAUUGAGGAAAAUGAGAAAUGCUCGAGCUGUUUACAUUCAUCAUUUUCUCUAUAUAUAUACUCUUUAUGAUAAAUAAAAUUUGAAUUUACAAGAAAAUUAAUGAUAUUACUACUGCGUCAGUGCAUGAAUGUUAUAAUACCUAGGUACAUGGCUAACUACAUACGUAACACAGGUUACUGGCUCUACCUUCAACGAGUCACAACUCACAAUACAGGUUAUGCAAUGUAACAAAUGCUAGUAAUCAAAUGUGAGAUUAUUCCCAUAGCUUACCUUACUGAUUCUUUAUUUCUUUUGCAGGAAAUCAUGUCCAUUGCAUUGCAUCCACCUGUUGUGAAACUAGUUUUGGUUGUGUUAGACUGAUAUGUCGAGGUGAAAGCGUGGACAGACUUUGAUCCGGGUGUAUUUUAAUGUGUUGAUGUAGCAGUGGUUCAUCACGUUUCUCAUUUAAUUUUCUUUUGUAAGUUUAUUUCCAAGAGGGAAGCAUUAUCAGUUAGCAAGUAUACUUUUUUAAUUUUUUGUACCAAAUUACGAAAUAAAUUUAUUUGCCAAAG